Molecule: ribosomal RNA, 135 nt
Filed under: Salvator merianae (Argentine black and white tegu)
Lineage: Eukaryota; Metazoa; Chordata; Lepidosauria; Squamata; Teiidae
Source: RNAcentral
GCCUCAGCAUUUAGCCCCUUGCCAAUCAUAUCACAUCCUCAAAAUGGCUCUCAUCUGGUCCUGAAAGCUAAGCAAGGCUGGACUUGGCUCAUACUUGGAUGGGUAAUCAUCUAGGAAUUUCAGGUGCUUUAGGCU